AUUGAACGCUAGCGGGAUGCUUUACACAUGCAAGUCGAACGGCAGCGCGGACUUCGGUCUGGCGGCGAGUGGCGAACGGGUGAGUAAUGUAUCGGAACGUGCCCAGUAGCGGGGGAUAACUACGCGAAAGCGUAGCUAAUACCGCAUACGCCCUACGGGGGAAAGCAGGGGAUCGUAAGACCUUUCACUUUUGGUGCGGCCGAUAUCGGAUUAGCUAGUUGGUGAGGUAACGGCUCACCAAGGCGACGAUCCGUAGCUGGUUUGAGAGGACGACCAGCCACACUGGGACUGAGACACGGCCCAGACUCCUACGGGAGGCAGCAGUGGGGAAUUUUGGACAAUGGGGGCAACCCUGAUCCAGCCAUCCCGCGUGUGCGAUGAAGGCCUUCGGGUUGUAAAGCACUUUUGGCAGGAAAGAAACGUCGCGGGCUAAUACCCCGUGGAACUGACGGUACCUGCAGAAUAAGCACCGGCUAACUACGUG
Molecule: ribosomal RNA, 484 nt
Filed under: uncultured bacterium
Lineage: Bacteria
Description: partial 16S ribosomal RNA
Rfam family: Bacterial small subunit ribosomal RNA
Source: RNAcentral